This 484-nucleotide ribosomal RNA is filed under the name uncultured bacterium. Its description in RNAcentral is "partial 16S ribosomal RNA". It matches the Rfam family "Bacterial small subunit ribosomal RNA", at positions 29 to 507 of the family's 1533-position model. The record is from RNAcentral.
AGUGAACGCUGGCGGCAGGCCUAACACAUGCAAGUCGAGCGGCAGCGCGGGGGCAACCCUGGCGGCGAGCGGCGGACGGGUGAGGAAUUCGUCGGAAUCUGCCUUUUUGUGGGGGAUAACGUAGGGAAACUUACGCUAAUACCGCAUACGUCCUACGGGAGAAAGUGGGGGACCGCAAGGCCUCACGCAGAAAGAUGAGCCGACGACCGAUUAGCUAGUUGGUGGGGUAAAGGCCCACCAAGGCGACGAUCGGUAGCUGGUCUGAGAGGAUGAUCAGCCACACUGGGACUGAGACACGGCCCAGACUCCUACGGGAGGCAGCAGUGGGGAAUAUUGGACAAUGGGCGCAAGCCUGAUCCAGCCAUGCCGCGUGUGUGAAGAAGGCCUUCGGGUUGUAAAGCACUUCUGUCCGGAAAGAAAUCCCUGGAGCUAAUACCUUCGGGGGAUGACGGUACCGGAAGAAUAAGCACCGGCUAACUUCGUG